UGGCCUACGGGGCGCAGCAGUAGGGAAUCUUCCACAAUGGACGAAAGUCUGAUGGAGCAACGCCGCGUGAGUGAAGAAGGGUUUCGGCUCGUAAAGCUCUGUUGGUAGUGAAGAAAGAUAGAGGGAGUAACUGGCCUUUAUUUGACGGUAAUUACUUAGAAAGUCACGGCUAACUACGUGGCAGCAGCCGCGGUAAUACGGAGGUGGCCAGCGUUGUCCGGUAUUAUUGGG
Molecule: ribosomal RNA, 231 nt
Filed under: uncultured bacterium
Lineage: Bacteria
Description: partial 16S ribosomal RNA
Rfam family: Bacterial small subunit ribosomal RNA
Source: RNAcentral